Molecule: long non-coding RNA, 2488 nt
Filed under: Triticum aestivum (bread wheat)
Lineage: Eukaryota; Viridiplantae; Streptophyta; Magnoliopsida; Poales; Poaceae
Description: long non-coding RNA (TAES_LNC011327)
Source: RNAcentral
AAAAAGAUUCAGCCUGUUGAGAAAAGGACCAAACAUCUCUAGAACAUCAAUUAACCAUACAAAGGCUUGUUUGAUUAUCGUGUGCAAAGCGAACAAGACAUGUGUAAAACACAUGUAACUUGUCACCUGCAUACCCAGCUUAAUAGUCCAAACAGUCAAACACAUAGAACUACGAGUGCUCAUUACAUACUGUAGUUACAAAAAGGGCACAACUAUCUUGGAAGAUAUAUCAGAUGGCUGUUGUGUCGCACAUGGUGAUUCAUCUGAACCUAACCCGUAAAAAUGCCAAAGACAGGUCUCAGAUCAGAGUACAUCAAAAGUAUUGAGAAGGUACUAUUUUUUGAAUACAUCUUUACUCUUCAUAGUCGCGUUUGCGUUUUCCAAAUAAACCUUUGCGAGCACCGCACAGCUCACUUGCUGUUUGAUAGCCCAACAUAUGGUUUAAUGAUCUGAUAUAUGGAGCAUUACAUCCUAGAGCCGAGGCAAGGUUUAUUUAGUAUACCUUGCCAUGUCUAGCUUUGGAGGUGUCGUCUGCUGUUGGUUGUUGUGCUUUGCAUGUCCUAAGAGGAUAGUAAUAUUAGCAGCAACCUAUUGACGACCAAUAACUUAGAAGAAGCAGAUUAUUGUGAAUCUAUGAGUAAUAGAUGGGCUGGUAACACAUAUGCUUGCUAUGUAACCAUGUACAAGACAAUUAUUGAUCGAUCCAUUAAAUAUUGAUUUCAUAAUCUGGAACAACAGUUCUUCAACAAUCUGUAUAUAUCAGGAAAAACAUAGGAACAAUACACUUCCUACCAAAACAUAUGUGCCCUCUAAAAUCAGAGUCAAUAUGGACAAACAUAGUAAUUAUGUGAAAAUCUCGAUCCUGACUAACAGAGGAGUAUUUUAAGAUUUUUCUGUAAUACAUCAUGAUCCUUUAAAUCGCAACUUGUAAUGAUUUUAGUACAUUAGAGUAAGGCCCAGGCAAUCCCAAUCUUUAGUGCUUACGCAUUCUGUAUAUCAUCUAGUGGUUUCGCAAGUAUUGGUGACAGUGCAGCUAGCCCACAAAAACAUGACAGCAAUCUUCAAGUCACGAAGAAGCUAUUCUAUUUCUUUUUUACAAACGUACACAAGAGGAUCGACUACUUUGGCUCCUCAUCUACCGGCUUCUUUUUUCUCUAAGGACAGAAGAAAAGACUACUGGUCAGCUGAAUCAUGACCACCUUUAGAUUCGUGUAAUUAUAGGAUCGACUACUUUGGUUCUAUAUUAUCUACCAGCUUCUUUCUUCUCUGAACACAGAAGAAAAACCUACUGGUCAGCUGAAUCAUCACCACCUUCAGAUUCAUGUAAAUAUACCCAGGAGCACCAACAAACAAAAUUAUAUUCAAAUUCCAUGACAGGUAAAAGUACCUAGUUAUGAUGCAUACGGCUUGCCAACAAACUAACAGGUGCUUCAGAUUUUUCUAACUAUGUGAGUACCCCCUAGUUCAGUCAUGGAGUAUAUUCAUUUCAUUUCAGUGCAUAUAUUUCAUUUCAUUUCAUUUCAGUGUACAACAACAGAAAAGGAGCAAAGCAACCAGCAAUGGAGAAGAGGCACUGACCGUGGACAAGGGAGGAGAGGCUGCCGUUGGGGUAGUAGUCGCUCCUCCUCUGCCUGCUCCACGUCGACGGCCACACGCCCAAGCCUCGACGCCAUCUUUGUACUUCCCUUGGCGGCUACAAAACUGGCUAGUAACAUGAAAACACAUAGCAGCCCCAAGCACUAAAUUAGCCUUGUAAGACAGCAAAUAAACAAAGCAAAUAAUAGAUCAAAUUAACCACGCAAAGCACAACAGCAAUGGACUAUGUAACCUAUAGAUUAAUUAUGCAAGAAGUUACCAUUCCUAUAAUUAGCAAGCAUCAAUCAUUGCUUGGUGCAUCUAUAAACAAUGAGGAUGCGGUCUAAUUCUGGAACACAGAUUAAUUAUUUGUGUAGUCGGACUUCCUUUGUUAGGAAGCAGCAACUACUACCCGGUACACAUAUUUCUCCCAAAUCACUAACCUGAACAGGCAUCGCAAUGCAUUGAAAACUGGGCACACCCUACAGACAUGGAUAUGAACCAAAAUGCAUAAUCUAGUUACCAAAUUCAAUAAUAAGCUUGAGUUCUGAAUGUAAGAUUACACAGAAACAUCCUGGGCAGAUAUUUGAACAAAAGAACCUAAGACAGAUUGUUGUUAAUAUAAUACGAUUGACACCCCUGAAUUGCAUUAUGAACUGUAUGAGUACAGAUUAAUUACCCCUGAAUAUAACCAAAAGUGGCAGAAGCUAUCUAGUUGGACAUUUUUCAGAACAGACCAGCACAGACCCAGCUUGUUGCACAGACCAGAACAGACUACAACAUGUCAGCAUCACAAACCAAACCAAACCAAUUCACUGACUUCCAUGUAAAAUAGCAUCAGUAGUACAGACAUGUAUGCACAAUAAUGUUUUUCUUUAUGUUUGCAAUGCAUGGUGUGUUAUCAAUAGCUUCU